This 454-nucleotide ribosomal RNA is filed under the name uncultured bacterium. RNAcentral's name for it is "partial 16S ribosomal RNA". It matches the Rfam family "Bacterial small subunit ribosomal RNA", at positions 28 to 507 of the family's 1533-position model. The record is from RNAcentral.
GAUGAACGCUGACAGAAUGCUUAACACAUGCAAGUCGACUUGAACUUCGCUUCGUGUGUCGGACGCUCGAGUAACGCGUAAAUAACUAACCUCACAGUUACCUACCCUAUAUGUUAACGUAAGUUCAUAACUCUUAUGCUGAUUCUAGAGCAUCGCACGUUCAUGAUAGCUAUAUUCGCUGUGUGAGGGCUUUUCGUCCUAUUCUCUCGUCGGAGGGGUAACGGCUUACCAAGGCGAUGAUGGGUAGCCGGCCUGGGUGGGUGAUCGGCAAAAAGGGAACUGAGACACGGCCCUUACUCCUACGGGAGGAAGCAGUGGGGAAUAUUGGACAAGGGACCAAGAGUCUGAUCCAGCAAUUCUGUGUGGACGAUGAAGUUUUUCGGAAUGUAAAGUGCUUUCAGUUGGGAAGAAAAAAAUGACGGUACCAACAGAAGAAGUGACGGCUAAAUACGUG